This 468-nucleotide ribosomal RNA is filed under the name uncultured bacterium. Its description in RNAcentral is "partial 16S ribosomal RNA". It matches the Rfam family "Bacterial small subunit ribosomal RNA", at positions 28 to 507 of the family's 1533-position model. The record is from RNAcentral.
GACGAACGCUGGCGGCGUGCUUAACACAUGCAAGUCGAACGGACAGGCCCUGCUUUUGUGGGUUGCUCGAGUGGCGAACGGGUGAGUAACACGUGAGUAACCUGCCCUUGACUUUGGGAUAACUUCAGGAAACUGGGGCUAAUACCGGAUAGGAGCUCCUGCUGCAUGGUGGGGGUUGGAAAGUUUCGGCGGUUGGGCAUGGACUCGCGGCUUAUCAGCUUGUUGGUGAGGUAGUGGAUUACCAAGGCGUUGACGGGUAGCCGACCUGAGAGGGUGACAGGGCACAUUGGGAUUGGGAAGGGGGCCAGACGCAUACGGGAGGAAGCAGUGAGAGAUAGUGCAAAAUGGGCGGAAGGCGGAAGCAGCAACGCCGCGUGGGGGAUGACGGCCUUCGGGGUGUAAACAGCUUUCGCCUGUGACGAAGCGUGAGUGACGGUAAUGGGUAAAGAAGCACCGGCUAACUACGUG